GGGGGGAGCGCCGGAUCUUCGGCUGUGUCCCCCGGCGCCCUAGGCUUCUGGGCCUGUGCUGGUGGAAUUGUGCUCCGGGGCACGCAGCUCCCU
Molecule: microRNA precursor, 93 nt
Filed under: Canis lupus familiaris (dog)
Lineage: Eukaryota; Metazoa; Chordata; Mammalia; Carnivora; Canidae
Also listed under: 1 other name
Description: mir-8799 microRNA precursor family
Rfam family: mir-8799 microRNA precursor family
Source: Rfam by way of RNAcentral